RNAcentral lists this ribosomal RNA (500 nucleotides) under uncultured bacterium. Its description in RNAcentral is "partial 16S ribosomal RNA". It matches the Rfam family "Bacterial small subunit ribosomal RNA", at positions 30 to 523 of the family's 1533-position model. The record is from RNAcentral.
AUUGAACGCUGGCGGAAUGCUUUACACAUGCAAGUCGAACGGCAGCACGGACUUCGGUCUGGUGGCGAGUGGCGAACGGGUGAGUAAUGUAUCGGAACGUGCCCAGUCGUGGAGGAUAACGUAGUGAAAAUUACGCUAAUACCGCAUACGAUCUAUGGAUGAAAGCGGGGGAUCGCAAGACCUCGCGCGAUUGGAGCGGCCGAUAUCAGAUUAGGUAGUUGGUGGGGUAAAGGCCCACCAAGCCAACGAUCUGUAGCUGGUCUGAGAGGACGACCAGCCACACUGGAACGGAGACACGGUCCAGACUCCUACGGGGGGCAGCAGUGGGGAAUUUUGGACAAUGGGCGAAAGCCUGAUCCAGCCAUUCCGCGUGCAGGAUGAAGGCCCUCGGGUCGUAAACUGCUUUUGUACAGAACGAAAAGGUUUCUACUAAUACUAGGAGCUCAUGACGGUACUGUAAGAAUAAGCACCGGCUAACUACGUGCCAGCCGCCGCCGUAA